UUGCAGGCCUGGGCGCCGGGGUUGGACCAGUCUCCCGGGCAUGGCACGCCCUGGUUUGGUGUGUACCCAUGGUUUGUGGCGGGGCAAGACGUUAAGUUGGGUGACACCGAGGUGAGCCACGGUCCUUGGCACCAGAUGAGGAACCACUGUCUCAAUAAGGUCUCAGUGCUGUGUGUGUAAUGGUUACCGUGAGAGCUUCCCUGCAAUCCGAAUUUGUGUGUCUCAUUCUCAGUGACACCAGUGAUGCUGUUAAACAAGGACAGUCCGGUUCAUGGAUUGUGACAACGCACGCUGACAUCAAGCAGACCCUGCCGUCAGGUACAGAGGGCACCACAGUGACCAGGAACUGCUGUCCUUUCAUACCAGGUUUUAGGAGACUUUACCAGAAGGAAUGGAAAAUGCUGGUGGGCAGUAAGAUUGAAACAGCAUCUGAGGACUGGUUCUGCACAAAACCUUAAAUUCUUCAAGGACUUUGACAUUUGUUUAUUCUUGUAACAAAUUAAAACCUAUCCUGUGUGUUGGUUAGAGAUCUUCAAACUGUAAAUACCUUGAGGCAGGAGUGAGGUUUUUAUCUUCUAAAGGACAGGCCCCUACUCUCCUACGUAAUGAGUUUCUAAAAAUGGAUGUGAGCACCAAUCAAUAUUUCUCUGGUUGUUAAAGUCAAGAAUAAAAUGGUAUUUUUAAGCUUGCAACUGUGUAGGAUGAAUUCUGUACACUUUUAUUUCCCUCUGUUCUCCUUUCCUAUUUGAAAGUUUAUUAGUUUGUGGACUUGGGAUCAGAUUAUUCAUGCAUUAUUUUUUGAUGUU
Molecule: long non-coding RNA, 806 nt
Filed under: Pan troglodytes (chimpanzee)
Lineage: Eukaryota; Metazoa; Chordata; Mammalia; Primates; Hominidae
Description: long non-coding RNA NONPTRT002856
Source: RNAcentral